GUGGGGAAUAUUGGGCAAUGGACGAAAGCCUGACCCAGCAACGCCGCGUGAAGGAAGAAGGUUUUCGGAUCGUAAACUUCUAUCCUUGGUGAAGAUAAUGACGGUAGCCAAGAAGGAAGCCCCGGCUAACUACGUGCCAGCAGCCGCGGUAAUACGUAGGGGGCAAGCGUUGUCCGGAAUGAUUGGGCGUAAAGGGCGCGUAGGCGGCCCGGUAAGUCUGAAGUGAAAGUCCUGCUUUUAAGGUGGGAAUUGCUUUGGAUACUGUCGGGCUUGAGUGCAGGAGAGGUAAGCGGAAUUCCCGGUGUAGCGGUGAAAUGCGUAGAGAUCGGGAGGAACACCAGUGGCGAAGGCGGCUUACUGGACUGUAACUGACGCUGAGGCGCGAAAGUGUGGGGAGCAAACAGGAUUAGAAACCCUGGUAGUCC
Molecule: ribosomal RNA, 425 nt
Filed under: uncultured bacterium
Lineage: Bacteria
Description: partial 16S ribosomal RNA
Rfam family: Bacterial small subunit ribosomal RNA
Source: RNAcentral